CCUCCUGAAACUGCAUGCUAGGUUAGAGCAGAUGACAUUCCCCGAAUAGACUAGGAUAGGUCUUCAGGCAAAUGUAUAUGAGUAGCUGUGCUCCCCUGCUAGAACUUCCAAAGAAGCUCUCAAAUUAUGUCUCAAAAAAGACACAAAGAGAUU
RNAcentral lists this small RNA (153 nucleotides) under Cricetulus griseus (Chinese hamster). Its description in RNAcentral is "7SK RNA (ENSCGRG00000022066.1)". It matches the Rfam family "7SK RNA", at positions 118 to 269 of the family's 331-position model. From Rfam's summary of the family: 7SK was discovered as an abundant small nuclear RNA in the mid-70s but a possible function has only recently been suggested. The record is from RNAcentral. Lineage: Eukaryota; Metazoa; Chordata; Mammalia; Rodentia; Cricetidae.